Molecule: long non-coding RNA, 533 nt
Filed under: Ananas comosus (pineapple)
Lineage: Eukaryota; Viridiplantae; Streptophyta; Magnoliopsida; Poales; Bromeliaceae
Description: long non-coding RNA (ACOM_LNC021087)
Source: RNAcentral
GUUGGUUACUAUCUAUUCUUUUUCUAUUAUGCCUGAUUUAGACAUAGUGGGAAAGUCGGCGAGGUCGGCGGCUGAACCCACUGGGAACUUUGUUGUAGUUCUCACCCCACUAUUUCCAUAGAGCCGGAAUCGAGCGAGCCGGCUGAUGAUCGCGAUAAAGGUAUCGCGCCAUAGCUAGAGACCACUCGAGUUGGUUUCACAUUUUGGUUUAGUUGCAUUAUCCUUUAUAUCAUCUUUUGUAUUAUGAUAAUUAUAGAUAUUUAAAUGAAAGAACAUGAACGUUGUCAAAGGAUUUAUAUUUUAAUGCAAAGAGUUUUAUUUUGGAGUUUUGUGUGACGAAAAGAGAAGAAAUGAUGAUAAAGUAAAGAAUGCAAAUGUAAAGGUUGAAUGUAUGUAUGUGAUUUAAAGUUAAUCAUAUUAUUUGUAUGAUAUUUAGUUAAUAAUUUCACUUUAGUUAUUGCUUGUCCUCGUGCAAGCCAUUAUGUAUGUUUUGAUAUGUGCAAAUUUUACACUUUAUUUGUACUUGUUGUUGA